AUUGAACGCUGGCGGAAUGCUUUACACAUGCAAGUCGAACGGCAGCACGGACUUCGGUCUGGUGGCGAGUGGCGAACGGGUGAGUAAUGUAUCGGAACGUGCCCAGUCGUGGGGGAUAACGUAGUGAAAAUUACGCUAAUACCGCAUACGAUCUAUGGAUGAAAGCGGGGGAUCGCAAGACCUCGCGCGAUUGGAGCGGCCGACAUCAGAUUAGGUAGUUGGUGGAGUAAAGGCCCACCAAGCCAACGAUCUGUAGCUGGUCUGAGAGGACGACCAGCCACACUGGAACUGAGACACGGUCCAGACUCCUACGGGAGGCAGCAGUGGGGAAUUUUGGACAAUGGGCGAAAGCCUGAUCCAGCCAUUCCGCGUGCAGGAUGAAGGCCCUCGGGUUGUAAACUGCUUUUGUACAGAACGAAAAGGUUUCUACUAAUACUAGGAGCUCAUGACGGUACUGUAAGAAUAAGCACCGGCUAACUACGUGCCAGCCGCCGCCGCAG
RNAcentral lists this ribosomal RNA (500 nucleotides) under uncultured bacterium. RNAcentral's name for it is "partial 16S ribosomal RNA". It matches the Rfam family "Bacterial small subunit ribosomal RNA", at positions 30 to 523 of the family's 1533-position model. The record is from RNAcentral.